RNAcentral lists this ribosomal RNA (445 nucleotides) under uncultured Clostridium sp. Its description in RNAcentral is "bacterial SSU rRNA". It matches the Rfam family "Bacterial small subunit ribosomal RNA", at positions 336 to 798 of the family's 1533-position model. Lineage: Bacteria; Bacillati; Bacillota; Clostridia; Eubacteriales; Clostridiaceae. The record is from RNAcentral.
CGCCUACGGGGGGCUGCAGUGGGGAAUAUUGCACAAUGGGCGAAAGCCUGAUGCAGCAACGCCGCGUGAGUGAUGAAGGCCUUCGGGUUGUAAAGCUCUGUCUUUUGGGACGAUAAUGACGGUACCAAAGGAGGAAGCCACGGCUAACUACGUGCCAGCAGCCGCGGUAAUACGUAGGUGGCAAGCGUUGUCCGGAUUUACUGGGCGUAAAGGAUGCGUAGGCGGACUUUUAAGUGAGAUGUGAAAUUCCCGGGCUUAACUUGGGAGCUGCAUUUCAAACUGGAAGUCUAGAGUGCGGGAGAGGAAAGUGGAAUUCCUAGUGUAGCGGUGAAAUGCGUAGAGAUUAGGAAGAACACCAGUGGCGAAGGCGACUUUCUGGACCGUAACUGACGCUGAGGCAUGAAAGCGUGGGUAGCAAACAGGAUUAGAUACCCCAGUAGUCAGA